Molecule: transfer RNA, 75 nt
Filed under: Candidatus Peribacteria bacterium RIFOXYC2_FULL_58_10
Lineage: Bacteria; Candidatus Peregrinibacteriota; Candidatus Peribacteria
Also listed under: 2 other names
Description: tRNA-Glu
Rfam family: tRNA
About the family: Transfer RNA (tRNA) molecules are approximately 80 nucleotides in length. Their secondary structure includes four short double-helical elements and three loops (D, anti-codon, and T loops). Further hydrogen bonds mediate the characteristic L-shaped molecular structure. tRNAs have two regions of fundamental functional importance: the anti-codon, which is responsible for specific mRNA codon recognition, and the 3' end, to which the tRNAs corresponding amino acid is attached (by aminoacyl-tRNA synthetases). tRNAs cope with the degeneracy of the genetic code in two manners: having more than one tRNA (with a specific anti-codon) for a particular amino acid; and 'wobble' base-pairing, i.e. permitting non-standard base-pairing at the 3rd anti-codon position.
Source: RNAcentral
GGCCCUAUCGUCUAACGGUUAGGACACAAGGUUCUCAUCCUUGAAAUCGGGGUUCGAUUCCCCGUGGGGCUGCCA